UCGGACGUGGUGUAUGGUGCACACCCGCUUUUCGUAUCAGGUCGCACAUGAAAAGAGUUAAAGCGGGAGGCUUGGGUUCGACUCCCAGCGUCCAAA
Mycena galericulata is the source of this 96-nucleotide non-coding RNA. The record is from the annotation of a GenBank genome assembly. NCBI's taxonomy places the organism in Eukaryota, Fungi, Basidiomycota, Agaricomycetes, Agaricales, Mycenaceae.